CGGGCUGUAGCGCAGCUUGGUAGCGCACCUCGUUCGGGACGAGGGGGUCACAGGUUCAAAUCCUGCCAGCCUGA
This 74-nucleotide transfer RNA is filed under the name Aeriscardovia sp. RNAcentral's name for it is "tRNA-Pro". It matches the Rfam family "tRNA". From Rfam's summary of the family: Transfer RNA (tRNA) molecules are approximately 80 nucleotides in length. Their secondary structure includes four short double-helical elements and three loops (D, anti-codon, and T loops). The record is from RNAcentral. Lineage: Bacteria; Bacillati; Actinomycetota; Actinomycetes; Bifidobacteriales; Bifidobacteriaceae.